UUGCAAAUUGCAGAAUUCCGUGAGUCAUUUUUCUUGAAUGUAGGCAUGUUCUUGGGCCACCCCUAAGGACAUCAUUUACUCAGUGCUUCUUAGUUAAUGUUGUGCUCCACAUCAUGCAUUAUGUGUGUAACUGUGGUGUAUUCUUCUUUUUGCAUU
RNAcentral lists this ribosomal RNA (156 nucleotides) under Ostreopsis ovata. Its description in RNAcentral is "5.8S ribosomal RNA". The record is from RNAcentral. Lineage: Eukaryota; Dinophyceae; Peridiniales; Ostreopsidaceae.